GCUGAACAGAAGCAGUUGCUUCUCCUCUCCUCCUGCAGCCUGUUUCAAUCCACAAUCCCACCAGCAACCACCAGAAAAGCUCCUGCUGCCUCUCCUUGGGAAAGCACAGCCUUCCCAAGGCCCAGCUGACAGGAAAAGGAUCCCAGUAGCCUGAAACUACGGCUUUCUGACCUUAACUCCUCAGUAUCAUCUUCCGUCCCUCCUGGAGUCUAGCUGGAUUGCAGGGCAGGUUGGACCUGUACUACAGAGAGUGGUUUGGAAGAAAUUCCCUUGGGAUAAGGAGCCUGGCGUUUCCAUCUUCCCAUGAGCAGGGGGCGUGAGGUAUACAGCCCUGAAGAGGGUGUAGCAAAGAAAAAGUACCAACACUGCUGCAUAUCCACUGUUUCCUGACUGACAACAAAAUUCUCCUGAGUUUGAAGGCAAGGUGUAGCUAGAAGCCAUGAAUUAAGAGUGUGAAGGUUAAAUGAUCUCCUGAUCCUUAGAGCUGACCUGUCACAUCAACCUGGAUGCUUAUUAGAAAU
This 521-nucleotide long non-coding RNA is filed under the name Apteryx owenii (little spotted kiwi). RNAcentral's name for it is "lncRNA (ENSAOWG00000018576.1)". Lineage: Eukaryota; Metazoa; Chordata; Aves; Apterygiformes; Apterygidae. The record is from RNAcentral.